GCCAGUCACCGUGAUGGACGAGCUAGUGGCCAAGUGCGGCCAAAGCCACUGGGGGACUAUAGGUGCUUGUGCUUAUUCUCAGCUGCGAAUUCACACAAGGUGGAGGUGAUUAGGGGAAGCAUGGUUCAUGGGUGACCUUCAUCUUGCCACCGGAUACGGGCUGCUCGCACUCGUGGACGCCCUCGACCGGACUCGAGGUAGCACCACUCGUGGACGGAGAUCAAUAGAGCCUGACAUGCACUACAACCCAAUCCAAUCCUAUCAUAUAACAAGGAAUGAAUAAUAAUUUAUAUUUUGUUAAUUUCUGAAGGCAUCUGUACAACAAAUUAGAACUUCAGAGAGGUAUUUUUUCAUACAAACUGUGUCCAUGCUAUAGGUUUGAAUAAAUUGAGAGAGAGAGUAUUAUGUACUAAAUUCAUGUGGAGAGCAGAGCAGCUGCGCGUCUAGAAUGGGCUGCCCCGGAGCAAAGCUCGCUCUCCCACUGUUGGAUGACUUAACUUGGACGGCACCCGGUGCUCGACCU
Molecule: long non-coding RNA, 523 nt
Filed under: Triticum aestivum (bread wheat)
Lineage: Eukaryota; Viridiplantae; Streptophyta; Magnoliopsida; Poales; Poaceae
Description: long non-coding RNA (TAES_LNC004528)
Source: RNAcentral